GAUGAACGCUGGCGGCGUGCCUAAUACAUGCAAGUCGAGCGAACAGAUAAGGAGCUUGCUCCUUUGACGUUAGCGGCGGACGGGUGAGUAACACGUGGGUAACCUACCUAUAGGACUGGGAUAACUUCGGGAAACCGGAGCUAAUACCGGAUAAUAUUUCGAACCGCAUGGUUCGAUAGUGAAAGAUGGUUUUGCUAUCACUUAUAGAUGGACCCGCGCCGUAUUAGCUAGUUGGUAAGGUAACGGCUUACCAAGGCGACGAUACGUAGCCGACCUGAGAGGGUGAUCGGCCACACUGGAACUGAGACACGGUCCAGACUCCUACGGGAGGCAGCAGUAGGGAAUCUUCCGCAAUGGGCGAAAGCCUGACGGAGCAACGCCGCGUGAGUGAUGAAGGUCUUCGGAUCGUAAAACUCUGUUAUUAGGGAAGAACAUACGUGUAAGUAACUGUGCACGUCUUGACGGUACCUAAUCAGAAAGCCACGGCUAACUACGUG
Molecule: ribosomal RNA, 497 nt
Filed under: uncultured bacterium
Lineage: Bacteria
Description: partial 16S ribosomal RNA
Rfam family: Bacterial small subunit ribosomal RNA
Source: RNAcentral